Molecule: long non-coding RNA, 87 nt
Organism: Chenopodium quinoa (quinoa)
Lineage: Eukaryota; Viridiplantae; Streptophyta; Magnoliopsida; Caryophyllales; Amaranthaceae
Exons: 2
Source: RefSeq, a predicted model, not a curated record
AAGAAGAAACUGCAAAAUCGGAGCAAAAUGUAUCUAAAGAUAUGAUUUUGGAGAAGAAUACUUCAGAGACGAGUAAUUUGUUGAAAA